This 373-nucleotide ribosomal RNA is filed under the name uncultured bacterium. RNAcentral's name for it is "bacterial SSU rRNA". It matches the Rfam family "Bacterial small subunit ribosomal RNA", at positions 524 to 898 of the family's 1533-position model. The record is from RNAcentral.
UACGUAGGGGGCGAGCGUUAUCCGGAAUUAUUGGGCGUAAAGAGUGCGUAGGUGGUUUUGUAAGCGUAGGGUGAAAGGCAGUAGCUCAACUACUGUUAGCCCUGCGAACUGUGAGACUUGAGUGCAGGAGAGGAAAGUGGAAUUCCUAGUGUAGCGGUGAAAUGCGUAGAUAUUAGGAGGAACACCAGUGGCGAAGGCGACUUUCUGGACUGUAACUGACACUGAGGCACGAAAGCGUGGGUAGCAAACAGGAUUAGAUACCCUGGUAGUCCACGCCGUAAACAAUGAGUACUAGGUGUCGGGGUUUAAAGACUUCGGUGCCGCAGUUAACGCAUUAAGUACUCCGCCUGGGGAGUACGCACGCAAGUGUGAA